RNAcentral lists this ribosomal RNA (232 nucleotides) under uncultured organism. Its description in RNAcentral is "partial 18S ribosomal RNA". It matches the Rfam family "Eukaryotic small subunit ribosomal RNA", at positions 1205 to 1456 of the family's 1831-position model. The record is from RNAcentral.
GCGGGACAACUCACCAGGCCCAGACACUGUGAGGAUUGACAGACUGAGAGCUCUCUCGUGAUUCAGUGGGUGGUGGUGCAUGGCCGUUCUUAGUUGGUGGAGUGAUUUGUCUGGUUUAUUCCGAUAACGAACGAGACUCUGGCCUAUUAAACUAGAUAGCGUGCGUACUUGUACGCCGCUAUGCUUCUUAGAGGGAUCGUCGGCGCCUUAGCCGAACGAAAGAGAGCAAUAA